RNAcentral lists this ribosomal RNA (253 nucleotides) under uncultured bacterium. RNAcentral's name for it is "partial 16S ribosomal RNA". It matches the Rfam family "Bacterial small subunit ribosomal RNA", at positions 524 to 776 of the family's 1533-position model. The record is from RNAcentral. RNAcentral also lists the same sequence under 2 other names.
UACGUAGGGGGCAAGCGUUAUCCGGAAUUACUGGGUGUAAAGGGUGAGUAGGCGGCAUGAUAAGUAAGAUGUGAAAGCCCGCAGCUUAACUGCGGGAUUGCAUUUUAAACUAUUGAGCUAGAGUACAGGAGAGGAAAGCGGAAUUCCCAGUGUAGCGGUGAAAUGCGUAGAUAUUGGGAAGAACACCAGUGGCGAAGGCGGCUUUCUGGACUGAAACUGACGCUGAGGCACGAAAGCGUGGGGAGCGAACAGG